Molecule: ribosomal RNA, 561 nt
Filed under: uncultured Glomeromycotina
Lineage: Eukaryota; Fungi; Glomeromycota
Description: SSU rRNA
Rfam family: Eukaryotic small subunit ribosomal RNA
Source: RNAcentral
UUGGAGGGCAAGUCUGGUGCCAGCAGCCGCGGUAAUUCCAGCUCCAAUAGCGUAUAUUAAAGUUGUUGCAGUUAAAAAGCUCGUAGUUGGAUUUUAGGCCUGGCCGGGCGGUCCGCUUUGGCGAGUACUGUCCUGUGUCGGGUCCACCUUCUGGUGAACCAGUAUGUCCUUUAUUGGGUGUGCCGGGGAGCCAGGACCAUUACCUUGAAAAAAUUAGAGUGUUUAAAGCAGGCAUUUGCUUGAAUAGAUUAGCAUGGAAUAAUAGAAUAGGACGUUGUGGUUCUAUUUUGUUGGUUUCUAGGACCACCGUAAUGAUUAAUAGGGAUAGUUGGGGGCAUUAGUAUUCAAUUGUCAGAGGUGAAAUUCUUGGAUUUAUUGAAGACUAACUAUUGCGAAAGCAUUUGCCAAGGAUGUUUUCAUUAAUCAAGAACGAAAGUUAGGGGAUCGAAGACGAUCAGAUACCGUCGUAGUCUUAACCAUAAACUAUGCCGACUAGGAAUCGGGCGACGUUAUUUUCAUGACUCGCUCGGCGCCUUAUGGGAAACCAAAGUGUUUGGGUUC